CUGACGAACACCGCGACCCUCACUGCACUAGCGUCCGACGAAGCUGCUUCACCUACAUCUUCUGCUCCACCCCCCUCCUUCGAGCACCUGGACACCGAACGCCCAGGAAGAGACCCAAGGACUGGGUCAAUUGUAGCUAGUAAUGAAUGGUGUGAAGAAAAAAUUAAGGCUAUGCCACAAGCCAAAAAGUUUAGACUUGCCCCAUUGGAGAAUGAAGAAGACCUUGAAAUCAUGUUUAGUAGUGCGUCCUGUACCAAUGUAUAUGUUAUGGCUCCAGGUGCAAAUGAGGAGUUGAAUGGUAAUGAUAAUGAUGUAGAGGAGGUGCUUCCAAGUCCGGGUGACAAACCCUCCAGGAAAAGAGCUAGUUCAAGCAAGUCUUCUGCAACCUCUUCGCAUAAUGAUUAUGUUAGGCAAGAGAUAGCAGAAAUGUUGGAAUCAGUUAUUGAGCCUGGGGCAGGUGAAGGAAGUGAUGAACAUUUUUAUGCCACACAACUCCUUAUCAAGAAGGAGUACAAAGAUGUGUUUGUCACUCUUAAAACCGCUGAAGGGAAGCUUGCAUGGCUUAAGAGAACAUGGGAGGAGAGGAAGAACCGCUAG
This 597-nucleotide unclassified non-coding RNA is filed under the name Zea mays. RNAcentral's name for it is "misc RNA Zm00001eb414370". The record is from RNAcentral. Lineage: Eukaryota; Viridiplantae; Streptophyta; Magnoliopsida; Poales; Poaceae.